GGGGUUGUGGCUCAGAGGUAGAGUGCUUGCCUUGCACGUGCAAGCUCCUGGGUUCAACCCUCAGCACCA
RNAcentral lists this transfer RNA (69 nucleotides) under Ictidomys tridecemlineatus (thirteen-lined ground squirrel). RNAcentral describes it as "Spermophilus tridecemlineatus (thirteen-lined ground squirrel) tRNA". It matches the Rfam family "tRNA". From Rfam's summary of the family: Transfer RNA (tRNA) molecules are approximately 80 nucleotides in length. Their secondary structure includes four short double-helical elements and three loops (D, anti-codon, and T loops). The record is from Rfam by way of RNAcentral. Lineage: Eukaryota; Metazoa; Chordata; Mammalia; Rodentia; Sciuridae.